UGGGGAAUAUUGCACAAUGGGCGCAAGCCUGAUGCAGCCAUGCCGCGUGUAUGAAGAAGGUCUUCGGGUUGUAAAGUACUUUCAGCGGGGAGGAAGGCGAUAAGGUUAAUAACCUUGUCGAUUGACGUUACCCGCAGAAGAAGCACCGGCUAACUCCGUGCCAGCAGCCGCGGUAAUACGGAGGGUGCAAGCGUUAAUCGGAAUUACUGGGCGUAAAGCGCACGCAGGCGGUCUGUCAAGUCGGAUGUGAAAUCCCCGGGCUCAACCUGGGAACUGCAUUCGAAACUGGCAGGCUAGAGUCUUGUAGAGGGGGGUAGAAUUCCAGGUGUAGCGGUGAAAUGCGUAGAGAUCUGGAGGAAUACCGGUGGCGAAGGCGGCCCCCUGGACAAAGACUGACGCUCAGGUGCGAAAGCGUGGGGAGCAAACA
Molecule: ribosomal RNA, 427 nt
Filed under: uncultured bacterium
Lineage: Bacteria
Description: partial 16S ribosomal RNA
Rfam family: Bacterial small subunit ribosomal RNA
Source: RNAcentral